CAGCCGCCGCGGUAAUACGAAGGGUGCAAGCGUUAAUCGGAAUUACUGGGUGUAAAGCGUGCGUAGGCGGUGAGUUAAGUCUGCUGUGAAAUCCCCGGGCUCAACCUGGGAAUGGCAGUGGAUACUGGCUCGCUAGAGUGUGUCAGAGGAUGGUGGAAUUCCCGGUGUAGCGGUGAAAUGCGUAGAGAUGUGGAGGAAUACCGAUGGCGAAGGCAGCCCCCUGGGCCAAUACUGACGCUCAUGCACGAAAGCGUGGGGAGCAAACAGGAUUAGAGACCCCAGUAGUCCCUGUCUCUUAUAC
This 301-nucleotide ribosomal RNA is filed under the name uncultured bacterium. Its description in RNAcentral is "partial 16S ribosomal RNA". It matches the Rfam family "Bacterial small subunit ribosomal RNA", at positions 509 to 807 of the family's 1533-position model. The record is from RNAcentral.